AGUAUACUACAUGUGGCAGAGAACACUUGCGGUUUUUACAAAUGCAACAUCCGGAAUCAUUAGAUUUUCACGAGAUGCAGCAGUCUACAUUCUCGACUUGGUUUGCAAAACGGAUAAUGCUAACACUCUAUUUUACUUACUUUACUUUGUGAUACUGCAUUGCACUCUGAUAACAUGAUUACUAUGUUGAAAAUUGGGUACAUAUUCAAGAGAUGUAUGCGCUAAAUCCAUCUCAAAUUAAUGAAGAGUUAUAUGUAUUGUCUUGCCUUCCUGAUAAUCGAGUAUCGUCACACAGGGGUUAUAUCAUGAACGGGGUAAAAUUUAUAGUUAAGACAAACGAUGACGGUAGACAAACACAAAAUUGUGGAGUUACGGUACCGGGCGUUCAUAAUGAUAUCGAAGAUGACUAUUAUGGAUUUCUUGAUGAAGUCAUUGAAUUGUCAUUUAUAAGAGGUUAUCGUAUAAUAUAAUUCAAAUGCACAUGGUUUGAUACUGAUCGUCGAAGAAAGAACGUGAUAUUUGAACCUCAUUUUAUAAGCAUAGAUACGUCUCGACAUGCUUACAAGGAGGAUCCUUUCACCUGUGCAAACCAAGCUAAACAAGUGUUUUAUAUAAAUGAUCCACUUAAACCAAAUUCACAAUGGAAAAUCAUUGAAAGAAUUACCCACAGACACUUGUGGGAUAUUCCAGAAGACAAGAAUGCAGAAGAUUUGUUUGAAGAUGUCAACCUUCACCGUAAAGAUGUUGAAGAAGAAAUUGUUGAAAACGUUGAUGUUGAUGGCAUUAUAGAUGAUUUUAUCAAUGACAAGCUAGAUGAUUCUGAUCAUAGCAUGGAAGAUUUUGGUUCAAAGUCAAAUAUGGAUGAUUCAGAGACACUAAUAAACCCAAUAAUGAAAUGGAAAAUGAUGAGUCAGACGAUGAUGAUUGGUAAAAGUAGAAGUAUCAAGAAAGGAAUUACAUUGAAGGAAAAAGUAGAAGUAUCAAGAAAGGAAUUACAGAAGGAUGAAUUUGGAAGAAGCUUAUCUUAGAGGCUUGUGCUACUUGGACUUAUAAAGGUUGUUGAUAUGUUGUAGUAGGUUGAUUUGGAUGCUAAUGAUCUUAUUUUGUACUUUGUUGAACUUUGUAGCAGGUUGAUUUGGUCUUUUGUUUGUUAAACAAUAUUUAGUUUUUUUAUAUGUAAG
Helianthus annuus (common sunflower) is the source of this 1181-nucleotide long non-coding RNA. RefSeq lists it as uncharacterized. NCBI's taxonomy places the organism in Eukaryota, Viridiplantae, Streptophyta, Magnoliopsida, Asterales, Asteraceae. The record is from RefSeq and is a predicted model, not a curated record. The transcript has 3 exons.